CCUUGUUAUAGCCAUACCACCCUGAACAGGUUGAUCUCCUCUGAUUCUGGAAGCUAAGUAGGGUCAGAUCGGGUUAGCAUCAGUGUGGGAGACCACUAGGAAACACCAGGGGUACCCAGGU
Molecule: ribosomal RNA, 121 nt
Filed under: Pogona vitticeps (central bearded dragon)
Lineage: Eukaryota; Metazoa; Chordata; Lepidosauria; Squamata; Agamidae
Source: RNAcentral